GGAAAUAAUUUAACUUAAAAAAUUUGACAAGAGUCACAUAUGAGUUUAGACGUCUAUUUAGGUAAAAUUUAAUUAAAACAAAAUAUUAGUUAUUUAAUUUCAUUAAUGACACAUGUCAAUAGAUCUUUAAAAGUCUAGGAAGAUUAGGAGAGAAAAUGCCUAAGAAUAUUACAUAAAAUGGCUAUAUUACCAAAUCAUCUAGUAUCAACAACGAAAAAAAAUUGAUUUUAUUUAACCUAUCAAAUUGAUUUUUAAUUACUAUGAUCAUAGAUACAUUAUUGUCAUCAUUUUCUUAGUUUACAAGAUCAUAAAAUAUAUUUAGAUAAAGGAUCUAGAAAAAAAAAAGAUUAUGAAAGUAUCAAUAUCACAUCAAAUAAUUAAAAUAUAUAUAUAUUCUCUAGCAUGUCUAGUGGGAUCUUAUUUGAUUCGCAAGACAAAAACUCAUGGCCAUGAGCAAACCUUUGUCAAAAAGAAAGCUUUAGUGAUCUCAUUCUCAUAUGUCAUGACUGUUUUUGGCUGUCACGUGACCUUAUAUAAUAAUAUGCAUAAGUGUUUGUGUGCGUUUUCUAUCAACUUUUGCAGGAGGAGCAGAAAGCUAGCAUUUUCAUUAAGUCACUUUAGUCACCCCCACUAACUUUUGCAAUUUGCAAUUUGCAUAGAGAGACAGAGAUUGAGAUUCGAUUUGAUUAAAUUAAAAAGGAAGCAACAGCAAUGGCGGUACCGCUGAAUUGCCCUUGAAGAUUUACUUGUUAAGGUGAAAAUUUUAUAGGAAAGAGUAGAAAGAGAUCAAGUGGCCACCUCCCUAUAUAUACGUUGGGACUUGGGGUGGCCUAGUUUUACGUUGUCCUAUAACUUUAUUUACAAUUUUACAUUGAAGUUGCUCUUCUUUUUUUUUUUUUGUUGAUAAUUUUCACAAUAUCACAGCAAUUAUAAAGUUAUCGGCUUUAUCAGUUAAGUCCCUCUAUAAGCUAUGAUAAUCUCGUAUCGCCUUUGUGAAGGUGAAAUUUGGAUAUUUAGAUCUAGAAUAGGAUAAAGUUGCUUCUAAAUAUUUGAAAGAAAUUCAUCUUUCACAAUAUAUGGGAGGACUCGAUCAAACAUCUAUUAGAACUUCAUGUAUUAAUUUUAUGAUUGUGUAGUUCGGAUAUCUAGGUUUGAAAUUGAGUUGCAACUAUUUUUAAAUUAUUGGAAGAAAAUUAACCUCCCCAAUGCACAUGAGAGAACUCAAAACUUUGCGAUAAUUAAAAAUCUACUUUAAAAUACCAAUUCCUAGUAACAUGUGUGUGUUAUAUAGAUAUGUGUGUGUGUGUGUGUGGGCGCGCACAUACAUAUGUAUGUAUGUAUUUCAAAUUUGGAGUAAAAGAAAACUUUGAUUUUUUCAGAGAUGGAGAUAGUCGAUUCAUUACCAGAAAAGAAAGGAGUAGAAAGCAAGUAAUAGAAAACAAAAACUAAAGAAAUAAAGUUAAAAGGAGGGACCUUUCUAGUUGUCAACCAAAAAAAAAAAAUCUUCUUAACUUGAUUUUCAUUUUGAUCGGGAAAGAAAUAGACACAUGUUGGGAGAAUGAAUGAGGAAACUAAUUUAAUUUUGGACCCCUACACACUAGAAACUAUUAAAGUUUUGAUGCAUGUAGUGACAUUAUCAGCUUUUCUUGAUACGCAUUGCCCGUACAAAGAUUGUAUAUCAUUGAUCAAGAUAUUUUACAAUAUCUUUCCGUCAAUUUGCCUGGUCUAUAUAAUGUCAGUUGUCUCUUUUGCCAUACUAUCUUCAAAAGAAGGUGGGAAUGAAAAAGAAAAAAAAAAAGCUAGAAAUUGCCUUAUUUU
This 1818-nucleotide long non-coding RNA is filed under the name Citrus x clementina. Its description in RNAcentral is "Citrus clementina (C. clementina) long non-coding RNA (CCLE_LNC004387)". Lineage: Eukaryota; Viridiplantae; Streptophyta; Magnoliopsida; Sapindales; Rutaceae. The record is from RNAcentral.